GGAAGUAUGGCUCAAGUGGUAGAGUGUCUGCAUAGCAAGCAAAAAGCCCUGAGUUCAAACCCCAGUACCA
This 70-nucleotide transfer RNA is filed under the name Dipodomys ordii (Ord's kangaroo rat). It matches the Rfam family "tRNA". Rfam says of the family: Transfer RNA (tRNA) molecules are approximately 80 nucleotides in length. Their secondary structure includes four short double-helical elements and three loops (D, anti-codon, and T loops). Further hydrogen bonds mediate the characteristic L-shaped molecular structure. tRNAs have two regions of fundamental functional importance: the anti-codon, which is responsible for specific mRNA codon recognition, and the 3' end, to which the tRNAs corresponding amino acid is attached (by aminoacyl-tRNA synthetases). tRNAs cope with the degeneracy of the genetic code in two manners: having more than one tRNA (with a specific anti-codon) for a particular amino acid; and 'wobble' base-pairing, i.e. permitting non-standard base-pairing at the 3rd anti-codon position. The record is from Rfam by way of RNAcentral. Lineage: Eukaryota; Metazoa; Chordata; Mammalia; Rodentia; Heteromyidae.